AAAAUAAAGACAUUGUAUUUUUAACUGAAAUAGUCAAGUUCAUUACUUGUUUAUUUUUAUUUUUAUUAAACAAUAAAUUCAGCAAAGAAUUAUUGAGUACUGAAAUUAACAACUUGUUUAUAAAACAAAAACUGUAUACAUUUUUAUUAAUUAUACCAAGUAUAUUGUAUUAUAUCCAAAAUUUAUGUUUUCAUGUAUCAUUGACCAAUUUACCUACACCACUAUUUCAACUGUUAUAUCAGCUAAAAUUUUUUGUUUUUAUCAUUUUUUCGUUUAUUAUUUUAAAAAGGAAAGUAACAAUUACUCAACUUGUAUCCAUUACAAUGUUAAUUUUUUCGCUGUUAUGUCUAAAGGAUUAUGAUAUGUUUGGUGGUUAUAGUGGUUCAAAUAAUGCUACUGUAAAGCCUUUUAGUACAAAUGGAAUCAUUAGUGGUAAUACUAACCACAUACAAAACAAUGCUAAUAACAUUAUAUUAAAUUCAUUUUUAAAAAGUACCUUUUUAACUAUAUCUGUUCCACACCUCAAGAGUGCUUCUAUUAUUAGAAUGACAGACAUUGGCUAUAAAAAAUAUGGAGAUAGUAAUUAUGUUGACAAUGUUAAUAAAAGUAAAGUAAAAAUAUAUGAACUUAAAAAUAUACUAAUAGGAUUAUCAUCUACAUUUGUAGUUAUUUUAAUUAGUGGUUUUACAAGCGCUUUUCUAGAAUAUCUUUUUAUUAUGUAUAAAAAUUCAUUUUUAAUACAAAAUGUGUUACUAUCAUUUUUUACUAUUAUACUUAGCAUAUUUACCAAAAAAAUAGAUUUAAUGUUUUUAUUAAAGAUGCCAUUAAAAUUGCAAAAAACAAACUUGACACAACAAAAGUAUCUACCAAAACAAUCAUAUACCAUAAAUGAUAAUACCUUUAAAAAUAACAUAAAACAAAAUGAACCAACUGAAUCAACUAACCCAACUGAAUCAACUAACCCAACUGAAUCAACUAACCCAACUGAAUCAACUAACCCAACUGAAUCAACUAACCCAACUGAAUCGACUAACCCAACUGAAUCGACUAACCCUAAUAAAUCAAAUAAACAGCGGCACCUCUUGUUUUUAUUAUCCUUAUUAUCAUUAGUAUACAACAAAAUAACAUAUUUUUAUAAUAAGUAUUUUAACUCUCUUGGUGAAUUUAUAUAUAUAGUUAUUUUUGUCUUUUUAAACAGCAUUGGGGGUAUUAUCAUAGGUUUUUUUAUCACAUAUUUAGGUAACGCGAUAAGGUUUUUUGUAACACCUAUUAGUUUGUUAUUUAAUAUUUAUAUAUCUUCCUUUAUUUUUAAAGAUUUUCAUAUUACUUUUAAUUAUUUCAUUUCUUUAAUACUUGUCUUUUCAGCGUUGUACCUUUAUUUAAAAAAGGAUAUUAAUAAUAAGAG
Molecule: long non-coding RNA, 1405 nt
Filed under: Piliocolobus tephrosceles (Ugandan red Colobus)
Lineage: Eukaryota; Metazoa; Chordata; Mammalia; Primates; Cercopithecidae
Description: lncRNA (ENSPTEG00000010957.1)
Source: RNAcentral